GACGAACGCUGGCGGCGUGCUUAACACAUGCAAGUCGAACGAAGUGGCGAACGGGUGAGUAACGAGUAAUCAACCUGCCCUUCAGAGGGGGACAACAGUAGGAAACGACUGCUAAUACCGCAUACUGAAGGAGGGGAUUGCGUCUGAUGAGCUAGUUGGAGGGGUAACGGCCACCAAAGGCGCGGAUCAGUAGCCGGUCUGAGAGGAUGAACGGCCACAUUGGGACUGAGACACGGCCCAGACGCCGACGGGGUGCAGCAGUGGGGAAUCUUCCGCAAUGGACGAAAGUCUGACGGAGCAACGCCGCGUGAGUGAUGACGGCCUUCGGGUUGUAAAGCUCUGUUAAUCGGGACGCGGUACCGGAAUAGAAAGCCACGGCUAACUACGUGCCAGCAGCCGCGGUAAUUC
RNAcentral lists this ribosomal RNA (408 nucleotides) under uncultured bacterium. Its description in RNAcentral is "partial 16S ribosomal RNA". It matches the Rfam family "Bacterial small subunit ribosomal RNA", at positions 28 to 526 of the family's 1533-position model. The record is from RNAcentral.